GCUGAAGUGGUGGAAUUGGUAGACACGUUGGACUUAAAAUCCAAUGGAUAGUAAUAUCCGUGCGGGUUCAAGUCCCGCCUUCAGUACUA
RNAcentral lists this transfer RNA (89 nucleotides) under Flavobacteriaceae bacterium. Its description in RNAcentral is "tRNA-Leu". It matches the Rfam family "tRNA". From Rfam's summary of the family: Transfer RNA (tRNA) molecules are approximately 80 nucleotides in length. Their secondary structure includes four short double-helical elements and three loops (D, anti-codon, and T loops). Lineage: Bacteria; Pseudomonadati; Bacteroidota; Flavobacteriia; Flavobacteriales; Flavobacteriaceae. The record is from RNAcentral.